AUGAUUCACAGUGUCUCCGCCUCUGUUGCUAGGACCGACAGGAACUUAAUUAUCUCCUUGUCAAGUCUCCGAGUCACAGAUGAGAAGGUCGACCUCGAGAAGCCAGGUGACGGGUGGAGCCUCUCAGCAGCCCAGAGAGCGCAGAGAGGAAGGCCCGGAGCUCCGGCGCCCCCUCCGGCCUGUCCACUGGCGGGGGCCCGGGGCAGCCUGCUGAAGGCUGCGGUCCCGGCUCCCACUGGCCCCGGCACCGGCUUCGAGAGCAGGGUCCGCAGAUGCGGAGGGCCUUCUGUCCACAGACUGGCGUGUGCCCGGCCCUGGAUGGGAAGAGGCUCUGCUCACCUCGGUUCAGUGGCUUCCAUACCCCACACCUGGGUGUGUUGUGGAGCAAAUCAAACCGCAAGUUUUAUUUGCUUAUGCUGAAUAUAUACUGAGUCCGCCAAAAAAGUUUAUACUCACUUCAGCAGUCCACUGUACUAUGAUACACGUGUGGAAGCUCCUGCCCACCACUUUGAGCACCUCUUGUCAUUAGAAACAUCAAAGGGAUCCAAGGUAGCUUGUGUUAAUAUUAUGAUGUCUUGAUAAAUUUAGUAUUAAAAUAUGUAUACAAGUUUUUCUUUUCCUGAUGUGUACAUAGGCAGCGACCUGCGUGGUGGAGGGUCCGAAGCGGUGGGGAUGACAAAAAGUCGAAGACCAAGAUGACUCUUAGCUGGGGUCCAGGAGUCACCACUGCUUGUAGUGAGCUGAUGGCCACCUGGAGCGCCCGGCUCUUUAUUUAUAGUGGAAACUGGAAGAGAGGGCGGGGCAAACAGUGCUACGUCGCCUACAUGGCCUAGGCUGAACGCAGCGUGAUUGUUUCAUGACUGGGCAUGCGCAGGAAAGGAACAGGGAAGGACGCAAUGUAACUGUCUCCUGGGGCUGUGCCACCCAGGGUCUGCACAGUCCUGUGACUCUAAUCUGUGGAGGAGAAAGGGAGUAGGGAGCAGGGAAGUGAAGAAGGGCCAUCUUCCGGCUCAGCCCAUGCAAUGCACUUUUUGACAAACUUUUUGUGUACAUGGUUUCCAGUACAUAAAGAUUAUACUGCUUGUGCGGAGCUGGCAGGCAGACACCACUCCUCUUAGCUCUGUUUUCUUCCCCUUCUCUCCUCCCUUCCUCUCCCUUCGUCUCUUGGUCCCCUUUCCAUUUGCAAACCAUCUAUUUCCUAUUAUUUUUCAUUUUUCUCUUUAUUUAUAUUUUGGGCUUGUCAUAUAAGAGAAACCAUGCCAUAUUUAAGCUUGUGCGUCUAAUUUGUUUCACUUAACAUUAUGACUCGUGGUGCAUCCAUUUUUCUAUAAAGGCCUCAAGUUUAUCCUUCUUUCUUUAGAGUAGGACUCCCCUGUGUAUAAUACCACAUUUUCUUUAUCCAUUCUUGUGGUGUUGGGCAUACAGGCUGCUUCCAAGAUUUAGCUAUUUGAAUUGUGCUGCUAUGAACAUGGGUGUUUAUGGAUCACUGUAAUGUGAGGUCUUUUACUCUUUGAAGGGGAAAGGCUGUGUAAAAUGGAAUUUCUAGUUUUAGUUUGCUGAGGAAUCUCCAGACUAAUUUCCAUAAGGGUUGUAAACAAGGGAAUCAAAAGUUGGACAGAGGGAGAAGGGGAGGAAAAGUGCAUAAUAAAACAGAAUCAAGCUGUAUUAUGGACACGCACCAACUCCUCAGGAAGGAAGUAAUCAUUAUGCACUGCAAAUGUGGAC
Molecule: long non-coding RNA, 1725 nt
Organism: Fukomys damarensis (Damara mole-rat)
Lineage: Eukaryota; Metazoa; Chordata; Mammalia; Rodentia; Bathyergidae
Source: Ensembl